CGGCGGACGGGUGAGUAAUGCCUAGGAAUCUGCCUGGUAGUGGGGGAUAACGUCCGGAAACGGGCGCUAAUACCGCAUACGUCCUGAGGGAGAAAGUGGGGGAGUCUUCGGACCUCACGCUAUCAGAUGAGCCUAGGUCGGAUUAGCUAGUUGGUGGGGUAAAGGCCUACCAAGGCGACGAUCCGUAACUGGUCUGAGAGGAUGAUCAGUCACACUGGAACUGAGACACGGUCCAG
Molecule: ribosomal RNA, 236 nt
Filed under: uncultured bacterium
Lineage: Bacteria
Description: partial 16S ribosomal RNA
Rfam family: Bacterial small subunit ribosomal RNA
Source: RNAcentral